Molecule: non-coding RNA, 101 nt
Filed under: unclassified sequences
Description: pan motif
Rfam family: pan motif
Source: RNAcentral
AGAGUGGUAUCUAUCAAGAACCACAUCGCUUUCAACAGGAUUUAUAACUUCAUAAUUUAUUCUAGUUUUAUCGCUUGGAUCUUUUAGACCGGGACGAGACG